RNAcentral lists this ribosomal RNA (262 nucleotides) under Salmonella enterica subsp. enterica serovar Typhimurium. Its description in RNAcentral is "partial 16S ribosomal RNA". It matches the Rfam family "Bacterial small subunit ribosomal RNA", at positions 197 to 447 of the family's 1533-position model. Lineage: Bacteria; Pseudomonadati; Pseudomonadota; Gammaproteobacteria; Enterobacterales; Enterobacteriaceae. The record is from RNAcentral. RNAcentral also lists the same sequence under 4 other names.
AAGACCAAAGAGGGGGACCUUCGGGCCUCUUGCCAUCAGAUGUGCCCAGAUGGGAUUAGCUUGUUGGUGAGGUAACGGCUCACCAAGGCGACGAUCCCUAGCUGGUCUGAGAGGAUGACCAGCCACACUGGAACUGAGACACGGUCCAGACUCCUACGGGAGGCAGCAGUGGGGAAUAUUGCACAAUGGGCGCAAGCCUGAUGCAGCCAUGCCGCGUGUAUGAAGAAGGCCUUCGGGUUGUAAAGUACUUUCAGCGGGGAGG